RNAcentral lists this transfer RNA (75 nucleotides) under Frankia sp. RNAcentral describes it as "tRNA-Asp". It matches the Rfam family "tRNA". Rfam says of the family: Transfer RNA (tRNA) molecules are approximately 80 nucleotides in length. Their secondary structure includes four short double-helical elements and three loops (D, anti-codon, and T loops). RNAcentral also lists the same sequence under 2 other names. Lineage: Bacteria; Bacillati; Actinomycetota; Actinomycetes; Frankiales; Frankiaceae. The record is from RNAcentral.
GGUCCCGUAGUGCAGUCUGGAGUGCACGCCGCCCUGUCAAGGCGGAGGUCGCGGGUUCGAAUCCCGUCGGGACCG